GGCACCAUGGCGGAGGGGUUAACGCGUCAGACUUGAACUGGCUAACAAAGUCAUCUGAUUCCUUCGGGAGCGCAAGUUCGAAUCUUGCUGGUGUCG
Molecule: non-coding RNA, 96 nt
Organism: Cryphonectria parasitica EP155
Lineage: Eukaryota; Fungi; Ascomycota; Sordariomycetes; Diaporthales; Cryphonectriaceae
Source: the annotation of a RefSeq genome assembly